GAUGAACGCUGGCUACAGGCUUAACACAUGCAAGUCGAGGGGAAACGACGGGGAAGCUUGCUUCCCCGGGCGUCGACCGGCGCACGGGUGAGUAACGCGUAUCCAACCUGCCUCUGACUGAGGGAUAACCCGUCGAAAGUCGGCCUAAUACCUCAUGGCAUCGUCUGCGGGCAUCCAACGACGAUUAAAGAUUUCAUCGGUCAGGGAUGGGGAUGCGUCUGAUUAGCUUGUUGGCGGGGUAACGGCCCACCAAGGCUACGAUCAGUAGGGGUUCUGAGAGGAAGGUCCCCCACAUUGGAACUGAGGCACGGUCCAAACUCCUACGGGAGGCAGCAGUGAGGAAUAUUGGUCAAUGGGCGGGAGCCUGAACCAGCCAAGUAGCGUGCAGGAUGACGGCCCUAUGGGUUGUAAACUGCUUUUAUGCGGGGAUAAAGUGAGGGACGUGUCCUUCAUUGCAGGUACCGCAUGAAUAAGAACCGGCUAAUUCCGUG
RNAcentral lists this ribosomal RNA (491 nucleotides) under uncultured bacterium. Its description in RNAcentral is "partial 16S ribosomal RNA". It matches the Rfam family "Bacterial small subunit ribosomal RNA", at positions 28 to 507 of the family's 1533-position model. The record is from RNAcentral.